GGCUAAAUUGUCAACCCUGAAAGAAUUAUCCACAUUGUAUUCCAACCUUUCAAAUCCAUCACAUGGAUUAUCCUAGCUAAGAUUUUACUAAAUUGAAAUACAGUGAUGCAUUAGCUCCUAUAAUUUAUAGGGAUCAAUCCCAUCUUGAUCCACACAGACUUUCUAAGUACUUGACAGUACCGAGAGCCUUCUGUCAAUGCAUUAGAAAUACAGAUAAUUCCAUACCAAAAUAUAGUGAUUUGCUUGUAAGUCACUAUGAUGAUCUUAGAUCUAAGAAACACUUAUACCCAUAUACUUCGUGAGUUGCUCUUGAUAGC
This 317-nucleotide long non-coding RNA is filed under the name Elaeis guineensis (African oil palm). Its description in RNAcentral is "long non-coding RNA (EGUI_LNC045748)". Lineage: Eukaryota; Viridiplantae; Streptophyta; Magnoliopsida; Arecales; Arecaceae. The record is from RNAcentral.